Long non-coding RNA from Falco peregrinus (peregrine falcon), 3018 nucleotides. RefSeq lists it as uncharacterized. NCBI's taxonomy places the organism in Eukaryota, Metazoa, Chordata, Aves, Falconiformes, Falconidae. The transcript has 3 exons. The record is from RefSeq and is a predicted model, not a curated record.
ACAGUCUGUCCUAAAGGCAGCUCCACAAACUGAUUAUAACGAUUUAGGACCCGAUUCUCCAAAGGUGACAGGAGUCCUUUUAGCAGGUUUUCUUUCCUUGCUUUUUUCUUUUCCUUAUUUUGCAGCAUCUUUUGAGCCACCAACGUGCGUCAGCUCUCCAGUAAUGCGCACGUACAAAUGCCAGCCCUCUGCCCGGGCAGCUCUAUUCACACACACACGCAAGAAACAUUUCACAAAAAGUGUUUGCUUUCUGCUGCCUUCCAAGCAGCAGAGUCUCAGUAGGCUACCUAAUUAUAAGAUCUUAGCAAUAAUUUUUUUCCAGCGAUAAUUAACUGAUCCUGGAGAGCGCUGAAAAUAAGCACUUCCCAAGCAAGUAGCAAACUCCCCAGAGUUUUCUCUGCUAAAGUGACAACUCAGCAUGAAACCGCUCCAGCCUCACGGGGACGCAGAUCAUCCCAGCGCCUCCCUGCCAAGAGCCAGGAUAGCCCGACGGUCACAAGCAGCUGAAUACAGGCGUAUUUCUCGCCCGACUGGGUCUGCCCCACCUUCCUAGCCACGCUCCAGGAACGGCAGCGCCAAGGCAAAGCGAUGCCAGGAGGCCUCCCAGCCCAGCCAGCUGCAAUUAUGGGAAACUGCAGCCGGGAGCUCAGCCUGUCCCCAACCUCCCCGAUCUCCCCGUGCAGCUGGUGCGAAGGGCAAAGCGGCGCUGGCCCCCGCGCGAGCCAAGGCAGCAGAUGGCAAUGCCACCCAUGCACUGAGGUGAGUCAGGGCUCAGCACCCCACUGCCACAAGCGGGACCUCGCUGCUCCUCUCCGCGCUGGGGAGCGAUGCCGUGUGGGGCAAGUUCCACAGAAAAUGGGUUUAUUUCCAGAUGCUGCAGGGAAACUAAUUUUGGUUCAACAAGCAGGCAAUAGUGAGGUAUCUUGAGGUUUUAUUUCAAUUCUACUCCACAGGAAACAAUAUCUGCUAGCAUUAUCUUCCUUACAUUUGUUUUUAUUUGACCCAAUACUGUGUUAAAUAUAAAAUACUGAUUGAACAAGAAUGGAUGGUGAAAAACAUGAGAUGCAAAAAAGAUCCCCCAAACCCACCUCCAAAGACCUCCUGAAUGUUACGAGUCAUUUAAAAUUAGUAUAAAAUAGGAGGGCAAUCCGAUAACGUGCUCUGCGCCUCCCACCCUGCUUUGCAAGGGAAGGAUUUAGGAAGCGAGAGGAGAGGGGGGACUUCUCAAUUACAGAGAAGCCCACCCAGCAAAUCCAGGCUCAAGGCAGGGUGGCAAUGUCCCCGACGGAGACUGGCCACCCAUUCCUGCCUGGGUGUCUGCCCUGCCCUGGGGUUUCAGCAGGAGGCUGAGAUGAAGUGGCCUUGGAAAGGUCCUUCUGGCACCUCCCUGUGCCUCAGGAGCCCCCAGGAUGGAUUUAGGGCUGAAAGCCCCCAGUGACAACAUGGCUUCCAAGAUGAUAAAUCCCUUGGGAUGAAGCCUGAGGACAAAAUGCUGUGGUGGUCCCUGGUCAUCCUCAGCCCCUGCCAGGGGAUGUUUGCCUGGUGGCUGGGACUGCAGUGAGCACGGUCUGUCCCCAGGGUGGUUCCCCCAUGGGAUUUAGUGAUGGAGGGGGAGGAGACCCCGGCACACAGAGCCACAGUUGUCACUGUGCCCCAUGGUGGCUCUAGGAAUCAGGUCCCCCAGACUCAGGGAGAAUUGAAGCACGUGUUCGUAAAGCACGGUUCUCCUCCAAGUGCUUCAUGGGGUCCUCACACGAGCCCUGUGAGGUAGGUUGGUGUCUUCAACCCCAUUUUACAGAUGGGGAAACUGAGGCACGGAGAAGGGUAAUGACUAGCCAGACAGAAAAAAUGGCAUCUCCCAUUCUAGGACCCCAUAUUCCACUAUUCCAACCCCAGACGUGCCUCACCCACUGCUGGUUACUCACAGCUCAUCCUUCUCCACCCCUCCAUCUGCGGUAGGUGACGGAGCAAGGGCUGGGACCUGGGAGCCUGGGAGAGGCAGCAGCAGAGCCUGAGCUCACACUAGGUCAUCCACACCCUGUCCCUAAGGCCACCUGUCACCCUGAGAGGCGUCCCAGCCCAAAAGCUGCUUUGGGGUGCCCUGGGCAGAGUCCCCCAGCAGCCACAUGCUGGGCUGGGGUGCCAGGCACAGCACAGAGAGCCCCUUAUAGGAACCUGCUGCCUGCGGAGGUGAAAACCCACUGGAUUUUUUUGCUGACCUGGUGACCACAGCCAUCAUGUCAGGAGGGGGUGAGUAUCCAGAUGCUUUCUCUUUGGUAAUUUGCUGCAAAAUGGCACAGCCUGGGAGAGCCAGUCGGGAUGCUGCAGGCUGGGGGACCCUAAGCUCUGAAGGAAGUGGGGCAGACCAGGAGCUCAGCUCCUCAGCAUGCUGCCAGAGACAGGAGAUGUGGGAUGGUGGCCAUAAAUCUCCUUCGCUUGCCACGUCGCACUGAGACUGCUGCAGUUGUGAUUAAUCAAGAGGCCAAAAAGAGAUGAUGGGAAAUCAAUGCUUUCAGGGGCUCCUGGGGGAGGACUGAGAGCAGCGCUGCUCUGCCGGCCAGCCCCCCCCCCCAGAUGCCGGCACACAUCAGAGCCUGGCAUGCACCAGACCCUCCUGGCUUCAUCAGCUCUGCCGGUGUGUUUGGGGAGCUGGACCAGGAGUGAUUUUUCCCAUUCCAGCACCACUGGGACUGCUCCUGAUGGCUGGAUGGGUGCUCCACAUCUUGUUAUCCUGGCUUGGCAAGCCCUGUGUAGCUGUGGUUAGGCAUCUGAAAACUGAGCAUCACUAGGACCUCCCCAUCACAAGUCACCUCCAAGCAUCAUGCAGAUGCGUCCCUUCCCUGCAGUGAUCCUGGGAAUGUUGGCAAUCCUCCCAAAAGUGGAGUUAAAUCUGAUGAUGAGCAAUAGGCUCAUUGUCAAAAUGGGAGCAGAGAAGGUAGGCAGCCCUGUGAUCCCAACCCAAGGGUGUUUGCUCCCCUCUCUCGAGAAGAAAGAAAAUCCCUUGAUGUGGAUGUGGUG